This 1145-nucleotide long non-coding RNA is filed under the name Gadus morhua (Atlantic cod). RNAcentral describes it as "lncRNA (ENSGMOG00000023847.1)". The record is from RNAcentral. Lineage: Eukaryota; Metazoa; Chordata; Actinopteri; Gadiformes; Gadidae.
CACAUCCAUUAACAACUAAACAGCUGGCCACAUAACUGAGUACACUUAAUUAUGAACAUGACCAUUGCGCCCAUAGUGACAAUAAAUCUAUCGUAAUCUACAAACUCUACACGGACUUCUUUAAGUUACAUCAAAGUUUCAUGUCUAUAGAGUUAUCCCAUGAGAAGAUACAUUAAAACAUUUGAAAAAAUGGCAAGGGUUUUGUGAGAUACUGUAUAUGUACCAAUUUAGGUUAGGUGAACUCCUCACUGUUUCACAUAAUGAGUAAUGUGUUAAUUUUGUUUUGAAAGAUAAUUCCUACAAAUACUGAGUGAUGUAGUGGAUGGCUGGAAAGAAGAGAGGCAGCUUGAUGGACGAAGCGGCAGCUUCUGGUGCUACCGGCCUCACCAUCUCUCUCCUAAGCGCCCUCACUUCACUCCCCAGCUAACCAAGACCCUCACGUCACCAUGCACGUCCCACGCUGCACCUGGAGGAAGUUGGUGCGCGACUGCCUUCUGGAGGCGGUUAUGAUCGUAAGAACUAGGAGGCCAGAAACAAUUCCAUGACUCCCCUGCCUCCUCCAACCAGCUGCUUGGCACUAUGGUAGUGCUCCUAUCUUUGAAUUCGACGACCUUCCACACCUGUGCCAUCUGUCAAUGAGGUGAAUGAAAGAAAAUAAAAAAUCGCUGUGUUUUGAGUGUGAAAAAUAAGCCUUAGAAAUAUAUUUGGCCUAUAUAUCAGUCAUUGUUGUUAUAUAUAACAUAGUGUGUAUGUUGCAAGAUCAACAGUGAUCACAGUUGAUCACAGUCUCAGAAAUAUUUGGCCUGUUAAGCCCUUUGAGACUGUAAUGGUGAUUAAGGGCUAUACAAAUAAAAUUUAAUUGAAAAUUGAAUCACUAUCAUAAGUGGUGAGAGAACUGCAUACACCAGCUUAACUUGGGUGAAGACGUACUCUGAAACCUGUCGUCUCUAACUACUAUCUAAGCCUAACUAUCUACAACCUAACUAUCUUCAAAGGCUUGCCGGGCUCGAGGCAAAUGCCCCCUCCCCAGAAUUACCUUCUCAAAAACCAAAAAAAUAGAAAGAAAAAAAAAAGCACUUCGCAGGAAGAGUAUACAAUGCUACUCAGCUGAAGCACUCUAACUACUCAGAUCAUUCACAGCUGAU